UGAUCUACCAUUUCAGCGAAUUACCUGUAGCAACGCUGAUUAAGUUUGUUGAUGAAGGAGACAAUAGAAGUGAUGCCUACGCCCUUGCAACGUACUUGAACGCUUGGAAACACCUGCUUAAGGAAACCAACCCAUCUUGGAAGGCCCCGUUUUCAUGGAAGAACUUGUAUGGAGGACCACAACCAGUUGGCCUUUGUUGAUGUCUCAUGCUCAUUUGGAACGUGUCGUAGAAGGUUUAUGGUGAUGUUUAUUGUAUAACAGUGAAUAUUCUUGGUGAAUAGUUUAUUAUAAAAAAAUUCUUGCCUGUGUGAAGUUGUGAACCACUUUGUGUAUAAUUAUAUCACUAAAGACGAUGAGAGAAUCAGCA
Long non-coding RNA from Penaeus indicus, 367 nucleotides. RefSeq lists it as uncharacterized. The transcript has 2 exons. The record is from RefSeq and is a predicted model, not a curated record. NCBI's taxonomy places the organism in Eukaryota, Metazoa, Arthropoda, Malacostraca, Decapoda, Penaeidae.